Molecule: long non-coding RNA, 480 nt
Filed under: Fukomys damarensis (Damara mole-rat)
Lineage: Eukaryota; Metazoa; Chordata; Mammalia; Rodentia; Bathyergidae
Description: lncRNA (ENSFDAG00000021926.1)
Source: RNAcentral
CAGGAGGCGAGUACUUGGAAUGCAGGCUGAGAGCUUGGCAAUCCAUUGUUCACUUGGGGGCCUUUUGCAAACUCUGUUCCUGGUGGUAUCAAAUCAUGGCAAUGCCCUGCUCAUUUUUCAAAAGGGUUCUUUCCCAAAUGAGGUUUUCUCACUGACUCGAUAACCAUUCCUUUUCAGACAGCUGUAUGCACGCUAUGGAGAGCAUGAACACUCUGCAUGUAUAUUUGUUCCUAAAGAGUCGGCUUCAUGUAGCCUGGGAUUUGAGCGAAAUGACUUUGUGAUAGUCUGCAGCUCAAAGUUUCACUGGAAGGAUGAUGCCUCCAGGUGGUUCUCACAAUGCAUCGUAAAGCAGGAGGCAUCCAUGGAUGUCCUGCGACUCAUCUCUCGGCUGGCUGGCUAGAGACUGGAGCACUUCACACACAGUGGUACGAGCGAGGGCUCCAUGAGCUCCUGAACCACGGUAGGGCUUUUGAGGGAGGC